RNAcentral lists this ribosomal RNA (305 nucleotides) under uncultured bacterium. RNAcentral's name for it is "partial 16S ribosomal RNA". It matches the Rfam family "Bacterial small subunit ribosomal RNA", at positions 505 to 809 of the family's 1533-position model. The record is from RNAcentral.
ACAGCAGUCGCCACGGUAAUACAGAGGGUGCGAGCGUUAAUCGGAUUUACUGGGCGUAAAGCGUGCGUAGGCGGCUUCUUAAGUCGGAUGUGAAAUCCCUGAGCUUAACUUAGGAAUUGCAUUCGAUACUGGGAAGCUAGAGUAUGGGAGAGGAUGGUAGAAUUCCAGGUGUAGCGGUGAAAUGCGUAGAGAUCUGGAGGAAUACCGAUGGCGAAGGCAGCCAUCUGGCCUAAUACUGACGCUGAGGUACGAAAGCAUGGGGAGCAAACAGGAUUAGAUACCCCUGUAGUCCCUGUCUCUUAUAU